Molecule: long non-coding RNA, 1428 nt
Organism: Astatotilapia calliptera (eastern happy)
Lineage: Eukaryota; Metazoa; Chordata; Actinopteri; Cichliformes; Cichlidae
Source: Ensembl
GCCCACACCUUGCAUGGCUCUGUCCUCUUAGUGGUUGCUUACUGGUCUUAAUCUUCAAGGUUUAGUUUCCUGGACUUGGAAUAAUUCUAGUCCUGGACUAAAACGUUUUUCAGCGGGGAUCCUUAUCAACGUUUUCUUUUAGUCUUGAGCUAGGCUUAAUACAAGCCUAGGACUGAUACAAGCAAACGUGCUACAUAAGAACUGUCCAUUUACUACUCCUCUGCUCUCUGUCUCACUGUGUGUACAGUGCGAUGGAAACAAGCACAAGCAAAAGAGAGCAAAACAACAGGAUUCAGAUAAUCUGAAAUGAUGUGACUGCACAGAAAAAGAUGGAUAAAAUACUUAUUUGCUUCUUGGGAAAAAUGCUGAUUGCUCAGCCUCUACAUUGUCUUUUCAUUUUUAGUGUCAUUCUGGUCUCUUUAUGAAGACGUCCCAAAGAGAGGGACUCACAUGCACUAGCAUGUACAACCAUGUUUUCCGUUCAAAACAUCAAAAAUGUUAACGUUUACCUUUGUGUGUGCAAGGAAAGACCAUUUAAGGAGGACCAGAUGAUGAUGUCUGUAUUCUCUUUAUAUAUUCCCUGCAGAGGGUACUCAAACCUCAGCAAAGUAAAAGACAAGGACCUCUAAGAUUAGAAAUGUGUGGCUCAAUCCUUACUUUGUCAAGUUGACCUUGCGUUGCCGGUACUCCCUCAGUGCUCCACUCCUCUGCAGCUCCGUCCGUGUUGAUACUACUGAAAUAAAGCAAUUGAAAUCCAUGGUUGUAAUGUCAUAUUGUGUGAAUAUGAACAAUAUAAAUAAUAUUGUUCAUUUGCUUGUACAUUUGUUUUGCUUAUUUGUCAAAUAAUGGACCACAAGAGAUAAGCCAAUGAAGUAUUACCUUAAUAUUGCCGAGAAAUGUAAAAUUAUGUUCUUUGUUAUUUUGAAAAGUAGCCAUGGAAGAAAGGCUGAAAACUUGUUCACAUUUUGUUUAUGGCUUUAAGCGUUUUUUUGUAUAUUAAUCAAAUAUUUCCAUGUAUGAUUGUGCCAGUGCAAUAAGUUAUUGCACUUAGAUUGUCCGAGUUUUUUUUUAAUCAUUAUUUUUGCCUAUUCCACUGGGACGCUUCCUUUAAUAAAGCCAGAGACUACGUGGUUUUGGUUUUGUCCCAGGAGAAACUAAGAAAAACUAAAAAAAGAGAAAAAAAACGAAGCCCGUCCAUAUUUAGCGCUGCUCAUGUGCUGUAUUUUUGUACAGAAGUAACUCGCUGUGUUUGUUAAUGAUGGUUUCUAAAUGAUUUUGAAAUAAAUUGAUCUCCAGUGGUAGAAUGAGUGCAAAUAGUUUUGUUUUUCUUUCUUUGAAAGGUUAAGAAAUUUAACUCAUGUCCACCACAAUCAUUUUCUGAAAGAGAAGGAGUUUGGUUUAUUUGGGCUGUUUCUUUGGGUGAGUGAA